GAUUGAGGUCUGCAACUCGACCUCAUGAAGUUGGAAUCGCUAGUAAACGCGAAUCAGCCACGUCGCGUUGAAUACGUUCUCGGGUCUUGUACUCACCGCCCGUCACACCAAGAGAGCCGGCAAUGCCCGAACUCCGAUGUACUUCGGAGGAAGGCAGGGCUGGUGAUAAGGGUGAAGUCGUAACAAGGCAUCCGUAGCGGAAGCUGUGGAUGGAUCACCUCCUUU
RNAcentral lists this ribosomal RNA (225 nucleotides) under Patescibacteria group bacterium. Its description in RNAcentral is "partial 16S ribosomal RNA". It matches the Rfam family "Bacterial small subunit ribosomal RNA", at positions 1296 to 1533 of the family's 1533-position model. The record is from RNAcentral. RNAcentral also lists the same sequence under 1 other name.